GGGCUGGCUGUAGCUCAGCGCUCCUUCCCCAGGGCACUGUCCCCUUCCAUCCUCUGCGGUUGGCAGAGCCGACUGCAGACCUGUGGGUGCUCCCCAGUCCUUUA
Molecule: unclassified non-coding RNA, 104 nt
Organism: Otolemur garnettii (small-eared galago)
Lineage: Eukaryota; Metazoa; Chordata; Mammalia; Primates; Galagidae
Gene: Vault
Rfam family: Vault RNA
About the family: This family of RNAs are found as part of the enigmatic vault ribonucleoprotein complex.
Source: Ensembl